This is a non-coding RNA of Mycobacterium sp. GA-2829, 291 nucleotides long. NCBI's taxonomy places the organism in Bacteria, Bacillati, Actinomycetota, Actinomycetes, Mycobacteriales, Mycobacteriaceae. The record is from Rfam.
CUCCAUGAUCUGCGGGCAGAUGAGGUGGACGUGGCAGUCGAUGGCGCCCGCGGUGAGGAUGCGGCCGUUCCCCGCGAUGACUUCCGUCGACGGCCCGACCACCAGGUCGGGGUGCACGCCGGACAUGAUGUCGGGGUUGCCUGCCUUGCCGAUCGCGACGAUGCGCCCGUCGCGAAUCCCGAUGUCGGCUUUGAUGAUUCCCCAGUGGUCGAGGAUGACCGCGCCGGUGAUGACGGUGUCGGGGGCGCCGUCGGCGCGGGUGGCGCGCGACUGCCCCAUCGAUUCGCGGAG